UACAUGCAGUCGAGCGGACAGAUGGGAGCUUGCUCCCUGAUGUUAGCGGCGGACGGGUGAGUAACACGUGGGUAACCUGCCUGUAAGACUGGGAUAACUCCGGGAAACCGGGGCUAAUACCGGAUGGUUGUUUGAACCGCAUGGUUCAGACAUAAAAGGUGGCUUCGGCUACCACUUACAGAUGGACCCGCGGCGCAUUAGCUAGUUGGUGAGGUAACGGCUCACCAAGGCGACGAUGCGUAGCCGACCUGAGAGGGUGAUCGGCCACACUGGGACUGAGACACGGCCCAGACUCCUACGGGAGGCAGCAGUAGGGAAUCUUCCGCAAUGGACGAAAGUCUGACGGAGCAACGCCGCGUGAGUGAUGAAGGUUUUCGGAUCGUAAAGCUCUGUUGUUAGGGAAGAACAAGUGCCGUUCAAAUAGGGCGGCACCUUGACGGUACCUAACCAGAAAGCCACGGCUAACUACGUGCCAGCAGCCGCGGUAAUACGUAGGUGGCAAGCGUUGUCCGGAAUUAUUGGGCGUAAAGGGCUCGCAGGCGGUUUCUUAAGUCUGAUGUGAAAGCCCCCGGCUCAACCGGGGAGGGUCAUUGGAAACUGGGGAACUUGAGUGCAGAAGAGGAGAGUGGAAUUCCACGUGUAGCGGUGAAAUGCGUAGAGAUGUGGAGGAACACCAGUGGCGAAGGCGACUCUCUGGUCUGUAACUGACGCUGAGGAGCG
RNAcentral lists this ribosomal RNA (720 nucleotides) under Bacillus velezensis. RNAcentral describes it as "bacterial SSU rRNA". It matches the Rfam family "Bacterial small subunit ribosomal RNA", at positions 52 to 755 of the family's 1533-position model. Lineage: Bacteria; Bacillati; Bacillota; Bacilli; Caryophanales; Bacillaceae. The record is from RNAcentral.